RNAcentral lists this ribosomal RNA (509 nucleotides) under uncultured Glomus. RNAcentral describes it as "SSU rRNA". It matches the Rfam family "Eukaryotic small subunit ribosomal RNA", at positions 569 to 1081 of the family's 1831-position model. Lineage: Eukaryota; Fungi; Glomeromycota; Glomeromycetes; Glomerales; Glomeraceae. The record is from RNAcentral.
AGCAGCCGCGGUAAUUCCAGCUCCAAUAGCGUAUAUUAAAGUUGUUGCAGUUAAAAAGCUCGUAGUUGAAUUUCGAGAUCAAAUUGUUGGUCGUGCCUCGGUACGUACUGGCAUUAUUGAUUUCUCCCUUCUGAAGAACCACGAUGUCAUUAAUUUGGUGUCGUGGGGAAUCAGGACUGUUACUUUGAAAAAAUUAGAGUGUUUAAAGCAGGCUCACGCUUGAAUACAUUAGCAUGGAAUAAUGAAAUAGGACGUUUGAUUCUAUUUUGUUGGUUUCUAGGAUCGACGUAAUGAUUAAUAGGGAUAGUUGGGGGCAUUAGUAUUCAAUUGUCAGAGGUGAAAAUUCUUGGAUUUAUUGAAGACUAACUACUGCGAAAGCAUUUGCCAAGGAUGUUUUCAUUAAUCAAGAACGAAAGUUAGGGGAUCGAAGACGAUCAGAUACCGUCGUAGUCUUAACCAUAAACUAUGCCGACUAGGGAUCGGAUGAUGUAAUUUUUAAUGACUCAUUC